Molecule: long non-coding RNA, 429 nt
Organism: Eriocheir sinensis (Chinese mitten crab)
Lineage: Eukaryota; Metazoa; Arthropoda; Malacostraca; Decapoda; Varunidae
Exons: 3
Source: RefSeq, a predicted model, not a curated record
CUAUAAAUGUGCAAGUCGUAUGUGACACACACGAGAGAAUUUUACACCAAACUGCAAACUGGCCCGGGUCUGUCCAUGACGCACGUAUUUUGCGUGAAAGUGCUCUGUUCACAGGGUUCGAGAGGGGUAUGGUCCCUGCAGGAUGCCACUUAUUGGGAGACAGUGCCUACCCCUCCAAGAAGUGGCUCCUGACACCCUAUGUACGACCUCAGCCGGGCCCACAGUCCGCCUAUAAUAGAGCACACAAAAGGACAAGGAGCACAGUGGAGAGGGGGAUUGGCCAGUGGAAGCGGAGAUUUCAUGUGCUCCAUGGUGAAAUCAGAGUCAGCCCUCCUGCAUAUGUGUGUAGAAUAAUACAGGUGUGUGCUAUUUUGCACAACAUCUGCAAAGACAGACGCCUCCCUGUACCCGAGGAAGGAGAGGACGAGG